UGCCAGACUCCUACGGGAGGCAGCAGUGGGGGAUAUUGCACAAUGGGGGGAACCCUGAUGCAGCGACGCCGCGUGAACGAAGAAAUAUUUCGGUAUGUAAAGUUCUCUCAGCAGGGAAGAAAAUGACAGUACCUGACCAAGAAGCCCCGGCUAACUACGUGCCAGCAGCCGCGGUAAUACGUAGGGGGCGAGCGUUAUCCGGGCUCACUGGGCGUAAAGGGGGCGCAGACGGCGAUGCAAGCCAGGAGUGAAAGCCCGGGGCCCAACCCCGGGACUGCUCUUGGAACUGCGUGGCUGGAGUGCAGGAGGGGCAGGCGGAAUUCCUGGUGUAGCGGUGAAAUGCGUAGAUAUCAGGAGGAACACCGGUGGCGAAGGCGGCCUGCUGGACUGCAACUGACGUUGAGGCCCGAAAGCGUGGGGAGCAAACAGGAUUAGAUACCCUCGUAUUC
RNAcentral lists this ribosomal RNA (449 nucleotides) under uncultured bacterium. Its description in RNAcentral is "bacterial SSU rRNA". It matches the Rfam family "Bacterial small subunit ribosomal RNA", at positions 329 to 795 of the family's 1533-position model. The record is from RNAcentral.